GGUUAAGCGACUAAGCGUACACGGUGGAUGCCCUGGCAGUCAGAGGCGAUGAAGGACGUGCUAAUCUGCGAAAAGCGUCGGUAAGGUGAUAUGAACCGUUAUAACCGGCGAUGUCCGAAUGGGGAAACCCAGUGCAAUUCGUUGCACUAUCGUUAACUGAAUACAUAGGUUAACGAGGCGAACCGGGGGAACUGAAACAUCUAAGUACCCCGAGGAAAAGAAAUCAACCGAGAUUCCCCCAGUAGCGGCGAGCGAACGGGGAGCAGCCCAGAGUCUGAAUCAGCUUGUGUGUUAGUGGAACGGUCUGGAAAGUCCGACGGUACAGGGUGAUAGUCCCGUACACCAAAAUGCACAGGUUGUGAACUCGAAGAGUAGGGCGGGACACGUGGUAUCCUGUCUGAAUAUGGGGGGACCAUCCUCCAAGGCUAAAUACUCCUGACUGACCGAUAGUGAACCAGUACCGUGAGGGAAAGGCGAAAAGAACCCCGGCGAGGGGAGUGAAAAAGAACCUGAAACCGUGUACGUACAAGCAGUGGGAGCACCUUCGGGUGUGACUGCGUACCUUUUGUAUAAUGGGUCAGCGACUUAUAUUCUGUAGCAAGGUUAACCGUAUAGGGGAGCCGCAGGGAAACCGAGUCUUAACUGGGCGUUAAGUUGCAGGGUAUAGACCCGAAACCCGGUGAUCUAGCCAUGGGCAGGUUGAAGGUUGGGUAACACUAACUGGAGGACCGAACCGACUAAUGUUGAAAAAUUAGCGGAUGACUUGUGGCUGGGGGUGAAAGGCCAAUCAAACCGGGAGAUAGCUGGUUCUCCCCGAAAGCUAUUUAGGUAGCGCCUCGUGAACUCAUCUUCGGGGGUAGAGCACUGUUUCGGCUAGGGGGUCAUCCCGACUUACCAACCCGAUGCAAACUACGAAUACCGAAGAAUGUUAUCACGGGAGACACACGGCGGGUGCUAACGUCCGUCGUGAAGAGGGAAACAACCCAGACCGCCAGCUAAGGUCCCAAAGUCAUGGUUAAGUGGGAAACGAUGUGGGAAGGCACAGACAGCCAGGAUGUUGGCUUAGAAGCAGCCAUCAUUUAAAGAAAGCGUAAUAGCUCACUGGUCGAGUCGGCCUGCGCGGAAGAUGUAACGGGGCUAAACCAUGCACCGAAGCUGCGGCAGCGACACUAUGUGUUGUUGGGUAGGGGAGCGUUCUGUAAGCCUGCGAAGGUGUGCUGUGAGGCAUGCUGGAGGUAUCAGAAGUGCGAAUGCUGACAUAAGUAACGAUAAAGCGGGUGAAAAGCCCGCUCGCCGGAAGACCAAGGGUUCCUGUCCAACGUUAAUCGGGGCAGGGUGAGUCGACCCCUAAGGCGAGGCCGAAAGGCGUAGUCGAUGGGAAACAGGUUAAUAUUCCUGUACUUGGUGUUACUGCGAAGGGGGGACGGAGAAGGCUAUGUUAGCCGGGCGACGGUUGUCCCGGUUUAAGCAUGUAGGCUGAUUGUCCAGGCAAAUCCGGAUAAUCAAGGCUGAGGUGUGAUGACGAGGCACUACGGUGCUGAAGUAACAAAUGCCCUGCUUCCAGGAAAAGCCUCUAAGCAUCAGGUAACAUUAAAUCGUACCCCAAACCGACACAGGUGGUCAGGUAGAGAAUACCAAGGCGCUUGAGAGAACUCGGGUGAAGGAACUAGGCAAAAUGGUGCCGUAACUUCGGGAGAAGGCACGCUGGUGUGUAGGUGAAGUCCCUGCGGAUGGAGCUGAGACCAGUCGAAGAUACCAGCUGGCUGCAACUGUUUAUUAAAAACACAGCACUGUGCAAACACGAAAGUGGACGUAUACGGUGUGACGCCUGCCCGGUGCCGGAAGGUUAAUUGAUGGGGUUAUCCGUAAGGAGAAGCUCUUGAUCGAAGCCCCGGUAAACGGCGGCCGUAACUAUAACGGUCCUAAGGUAGCGAAAUUCCUUGUCGGGUAAGUUCCGACCUGCACGAAUGGCGUAAUGAUGGCCAGGCUGUCUCCACCCGAGACUCAGUGAAAUUGAACUCGCUGUGAAGAUGCAGUGUACCCGCGGCAAGACGGAAAGACCCCGUGAACCUUUACUAUAGCUUGACACUGAACAUUGAGCCUUGAUGUGUAGGAUAGGUGGGAGGCUUUGAAGCGUGGACGCCAGUCUGCGUGGAGCCAACCUUGAAAUACCACCCUUUAAUGUUUGAUGUUCUAACGUUGGCCCCUGACCGGGGUUGCGGACAGUGUCUGGUGGGUAGUUUGACUGGGGCGGUCUCCUCCCAAAGCGUAACGGAGGAGCACGAAGGUUAGCUAAUCCUGGUCGGACAUCAGGAGGUUAGUGCAAUGGCAUAAGCUAGCUUGACUGCGAGCGUGACGGCGCGAGCAGGUGCGAAAGCAGGUCAUAGUGAUCCGGUGGUUCUGAAUGGAAGGGCCAUCGCUCAACGGAUAAAAGGUACUCCGGGGAUAACAACAGGUGAUACCGCCCAAGAGUUCAUAUCGACGGCGGUGUUUGGCACCUCGAUGUCGGCUCAUCACAUCCUGGGGCUGAAGUAGGUCCCAAGGGUAUGGCUGUUCGCCAUUUAAAGUGGUACGCGAGCUGGGUUUAGAACGUCGUGAGACAGUUCGGUCCCUAUCUGCCGUGGGCGCUGGAGAAUUGAGGGGGGCUGCUCCUAGUACGAGAGGACCGGAGUGGACGCAUCACUGGUGUUCGGGUUGUCAUGCCAAUGGCACUGCCCGGUAGCUAAAUGCGGAAGAGAUAAGUGCUGAAAGCAUCUAAGCACGAAACUUGCCCCGAGAUGAGUUCUCCCUGAGACUUUAAGUCUCCUGAAGGAACGUUGAAGACGACGACGUUGAUAGGCCGGGUGUGUAAGCGCAGCGAUGCGUUGAGCUAACCGGUACUAAUGAACCGUGAGGCUUAACCUU
RNAcentral lists this ribosomal RNA (2904 nucleotides) under Klebsiella pneumoniae. RNAcentral's name for it is "23S ribosomal RNA". It matches the Rfam family "Bacterial large subunit ribosomal RNA". Lineage: Bacteria; Pseudomonadati; Pseudomonadota; Gammaproteobacteria; Enterobacterales; Enterobacteriaceae. The record is from RNAcentral.